AAGUUCUGGUGUCAGCCGCCGCGGUAAAACCAGCACCUCAAGUGGUCAGGAUGAUUAUUGGGCCUAAAGCAUCCGUAGCCGGUUUUGUUAGUUUUCGGUUAAAUUCAUGUGCUCAACGCAUGGGCCGCCGAAAAUACUGCAAGACUAGGGAGUGGGAGAGGUAGACGGUACUCAAUAGGAAGGGGUAAAAUCCUUUGAUCUACUGAUGACCACCCGUGGCGAAGGCGGUCUACUAGAACACGUCCGACGGUGAGGGAUGAAAGCUGGGGGAGCAAACCGGAUUAGAUACCCGGGUAGUCCCAGCUGUAAACGAUGCAGACUCGAUGAUGCAUUGGCAUAUAGCCAGUGCAGUGUCGCAGGGAAGCCGUUAAGUCUGCCGCCUGGGAAGUACGUACGCAAGUAUGAAACUUAAAGGAA
This 417-nucleotide ribosomal RNA is filed under the name uncultured marine group I thaumarchaeote. Its description in RNAcentral is "bacterial SSU rRNA". It matches the Rfam family "Archaeal small subunit ribosomal RNA", at positions 447 to 864 of the family's 1478-position model. Lineage: Archaea; Thermoproteati; Nitrososphaerota. The record is from RNAcentral.